GUCGCUUCUCGGCUCAUGGUUAAAUUCAAAGUGUACUAGUUGUUUUUAUCAGCUUAACAUCUGAUAGAUCCUACAUCGGAGGAUAAAAAAUUUUAAAUUGAUUUUUGGAAAUGGACGAAAUGUUUUAGGGUCUUGCUCUACCUUUUUCACCACCUUUGUUCUUUUUUUGUCCCGAUAAGCAGUACCACUGGGAAUUCGA
Bactrocera neohumeralis is the source of this 199-nucleotide small nuclear RNA. RefSeq annotates it as U2 spliceosomal RNA. The record is from RefSeq and is a predicted model, not a curated record. NCBI's taxonomy places the organism in Eukaryota, Metazoa, Arthropoda, Insecta, Diptera, Tephritidae. The transcript has a single exon.